GGAUGGAGAACAGCAGCAACUGCCCAGGGAGGCUCUGCGGCCUACAAUGAAUAGGUGGAGGCUCUUGAUACGGCAUGAGCAUCAGGGCCUCAGGGCAGCAACGGCCUCCUGAGGGACAGUGGCUCCCUAGGAUCUGGCAGACCUCAGCCCCAAAGUCCCCACACCAGAAGAGAAGAUGCUCAGGACCAGAGCAGAGGCAGGGAGAGAGCAGAGCACCAGAAAGCCAGUGCAGAAUUAUCUCCUCUGCCUCUGAACAGCACCAAACAGCUUUCAACAAAGGCUCAAGUGAAAAGGUCUUUCCUGCUGGAUGCCCUUGAGAAGUCAACCGCAACAGAAACUAGUCCCCUGGAGAGUUGAAAAGAAAACUGCUAAAUCAAGAAAUAAAGACUAUUUAAAUAUAUAAAAGUGAUAAUGAAAAGAAAGGGAAAAAAAGGCUUCCAAAUUACAAGAAGGCACAUAUACACACCCAAAGCAAGGAAAACACAACUACAAAUGAAGAUAAACAAGAUUUUUAGAAGCCAAUGGAAUAUUCAUGAACCAAACUCUCAAAUAUAAAAAACAGAAAUUGUACUUUCUCUGAAAUCAUACAUUCUCUCAACACAUGGCAAAGUUAAAAAUUAAUAACAGGGCUUCCCUGGUGGCACAGUCGUUAAGAACGCACCU
Non-coding RNA from Kogia breviceps (pygmy sperm whale), 663 nucleotides. NCBI's taxonomy places the organism in Eukaryota, Metazoa, Chordata, Mammalia, Artiodactyla, Physeteridae. The record is from RefSeq and is a predicted model, not a curated record.